GCCUGGGUGGCUCAGUCGGUUGAGCAUCUGACUUCAGCUCAGGUCAUGAUCUCCCAGUUCUUGGGUUCGAGUCCUGCAUCAGGCU
This is a transfer RNA of Felis catus (domestic cat), 85 nucleotides long. It matches the Rfam family "tRNA". Rfam says of the family: Transfer RNA (tRNA) molecules are approximately 80 nucleotides in length. Their secondary structure includes four short double-helical elements and three loops (D, anti-codon, and T loops). Lineage: Eukaryota; Metazoa; Chordata; Mammalia; Carnivora; Felidae. The record is from Rfam.